RNAcentral lists this ribosomal RNA (453 nucleotides) under uncultured bacterium. RNAcentral describes it as "bacterial SSU rRNA". It matches the Rfam family "Bacterial small subunit ribosomal RNA", at positions 352 to 793 of the family's 1533-position model. The record is from RNAcentral.
CAGUGGGGAAUAUUGCACAAGUGGGGGAAACCCUGAUGCAGCCAUGCCGCGUGUGUGAAGAAGGCCUUCGGGUUGUAAAGCACUUUCAGUAGGGAGGAAGGUAGUGUAGUUAACACCUGCACUAUUUGACGUUACCUACAGAAGAAGCACCGGCUAACUCCGUGCCAGCAGCCGCGGUAAUACGGAGGGUGCGAGCGUUAAUCGGAAUUUACGUGGGACGUAAAGCGCAUGCAGGCGGCCUGUUAAGUCAGAUGUGAAAGCCCCGGGGCUUAACCUCGGAAUUGCAUUUGAAACUGGCAGGCUAGAGUCUUGUAGAGGGGGUAGAAUUUCAGGUGUAGCGGUGAAAUGCGUAGAGAUCUGAAGGAAUACCAGUGGCGAAGGCGGCCCCCUGGACAAAGACUGACGCUCAGAUGCGAAAGCGUGGGGAGCAAACAGGAUUAGAUACCCUGGUAG